UUUCAGCUAGUUGUGAGGUAAUGGCUCACCAAGGCGACGACGGGUACCCGCCUGAGAGGGCGACCGGCCACACUGGGACUGAGACACGGCCCAGAUUCCUACGGGAGGCAGCAGUGGGGAAUAUUGCACAAUGGGCGAAAGCCUGAUGCAGCGACGCCGCGUGAGGGAUGACGGCCUUCGGGUUGUAACCUCUUUCAGCAGGGAAGAAGCGAAAGUGACGGUACCUGCAGAAGAAGCGCCGGCUAACUACGUGCCAGCAGCCGCGGUAAUACGUAGGGCGCAAGCGUUGUCCGGAAUUAUUGGGCGUAAAGAGCUCGUAGGCGGCUUGUCACGUCGGUUGUGAAAGCCCGGGGCUUAACCCCGGGUCUGCAGUCGAUACGGGCAGGCUAGAGUUCGGUAGGGGAGAUCGGAAUUCCUGGUGUAGCGGUGAAAUGCGCAGAUAUCAGGAGGAACACCGGUGGCGAAGGCGGAUCUCUGGGCCGAUACUGACGCUGAGGAGCGAAAGCGUGGGGAGCGAACAGGAUUAGAUACCCUGGUAGUCCACGCCGUAAACGGUGGGCACUAGGUGUGGGCAACAUUCCACGUUGUCCGUGCCGCAGCUAACGCAUUAAGUGCCCCGCCUGGGGAGUACGGCCGCAAGGCUAAAACUCAAAGGAAUUGACGGGGGCCCGCACAAGCGGCGGAGCAUGUGGCUUAAUUCGACGCAACGCGAAGAACCUUACCAAGGCUUGACAUACACCGGAAAACCCUGGAGACAGGGUCCCCCUUGUGGUCGGUGUACAGGUGGUGCAUGGCUGUCGUCAGCUCGUGUCGUGAGAUGUUGGGUUAAGUCCCGCAACGAGCGCAACCCUUGUCCCGUGUUGCCAGCAGGCCCUUGUGGUGCUGGGGACUCACGGGAGACCGCCGGGGUCAACUCGGAGGAAGGUGGGGACGACGUCAAGUCAUCAUGCCCCUUAUGUCUUGGGCUGCACACGUGCUACAAUGGCCGGUACAAUGAGCUGCGAUACCGCGAGGUGGAGCGAAUCUCAAAAAGCCGGUCUCAGUUCGGAUUGGGGUCUGCAACUCGACCCCAUGAAGUCGGAGUCGCUAGUAAUCGCAGAUCAGCAUUGCUGCGGUGAAUACGUUCCCGGGCCUUGUACACACCGCCCGUCACGUCUCGAAAGUCGGUAACACCCGAAGCCGGGGCCCAACCCCUUGUGGGAGGG
This 1205-nucleotide ribosomal RNA is filed under the name Streptomyces sp. RNAcentral describes it as "bacterial SSU rRNA". It matches the Rfam family "Bacterial small subunit ribosomal RNA", at positions 239 to 1450 of the family's 1533-position model. The record is from RNAcentral. Lineage: Bacteria; Bacillati; Actinomycetota; Actinomycetes; Kitasatosporales; Streptomycetaceae.